CGUGUAGGCGGUCCGACCAGUCGGAUGUGAAAGCCCGAGGCCCAACCUCGGAACUGCAUUCGAAACUUUCGGACUAGAGUCCCGGAGAGGAUGGUGGAAUUCCCAGUGUAGAGGUGAAAUUCGUAGAUAUUGGGAGGAACACCAGUGGCGAAGGCGGCCAUCUGGACGGUGACUGACGCUGAGACGCGAAAGCGUGGGGAGCAAACAGGAUUAGAUACCCUGGUAGUCC
This 229-nucleotide ribosomal RNA is filed under the name uncultured bacterium. RNAcentral's name for it is "partial 16S ribosomal RNA". It matches the Rfam family "Bacterial small subunit ribosomal RNA", at positions 568 to 796 of the family's 1533-position model. The record is from RNAcentral.